This 103-nucleotide small nuclear RNA is filed under the name Catagonus wagneri (Chacoan peccary). Lineage: Eukaryota; Metazoa; Chordata; Mammalia; Artiodactyla; Tayassuidae. The record is from RNAcentral.
UUGCUUUGGCAGCACGUAUACUAAAAUUGGAGUGAUACACUGAAGAUUGGCAUAGCCCUUGUGCAAGGAUGAUUUGCAAAUUUGUGAAGCAUUCCAUAGUUUU